GAGAUUAAAACCUUAACGCGACCAGGCGCUUCCAGGUCCCGGACUCGCACGAUAUGGAAAUCAGAUGCAAAGCCCGGAUGAGCAUCAGCGCCUGGUUUUUAAGAACAAGAUUUGGAUAAGAUCCAAGUGACACUAAAUAAAGCUGAAAGAACUGGAAAAAAGAAUCUUGGACCCACUAAAUAACAGAGAGAAGAGGAACAGUGAAGGAGAGAGAGAAAGAGGAGGGAGUUAAAGAGGGGGGGGGGUGAGAGGGCUGGCUUCAGUAGCACUGACUGCAGUACAGACAACAAGCCUAUUCAGCAAUAUCCCCAUCUAAUAUAGAUCUGCCUCGCACACAGCUUCCAUUCAAAGGACCAGUUUUCACCUGGCUUUACAAUCACAGCCCCAAUUUGCAAUCUAAUGGACUUAUUAAGUAGAAUUCCAGUUCCAUGAGGCUACAGUGGCAACAGUUCAGGUAAUUCAGCUGGCAUUAAUCUUAAGAAGUCAUCUGAGACACCUCUUAAUUUCCAAAGGAAAUAGAUACGCUUCUGAACAAACAAAGCCAGAAAGAAAUCCCAAAGGCAAAUAGAAUCCUGCCUGCUCAGCAAAAAAGAAACAACAAUAGAAAAAAAAACAAUAAGAAAAUUGGAAAAUACAUUGAGCUUCAUUCUAAUAUAAGACCUGUGGCUCCGGGCUCCCUUUAUUACUCUGGAUUCAAUAAUAAAACACUGGGCUGCUGCCAAACAGCUCUAGCUAAAAUCUCAUUCCAAGUUCAUUCUGAAAGCAGCAGUGCAGGAUCUAUUUUCGAAAAUCGGACUGGACACACCGUCUUCUGCACAACACGACGGCUGAAUUUAAAGAUGUGUUGAAAAACUGAUCUGGGAACACUAAGCACUCAACUGAUAAAGUUCAGCCAGUGGAUUCACUGCUGCAUUCUCUUGAAAGGCGCAUGGGUAGAGUAGGGGGUGCCCUGAUAACCCACAUAAAGUUCUUUUGAAGAUAUUUGAGAGAAGCAACAAAGGCCUCACAUGAACUGCGCUACUUAAAAUGUCCACCUCUGAUUGUCCUUGAAAUCAGAGACAUCAAUGUUGUGUGCGAUUCUACAUAUCUGCGCCACAGCCAAGCCAUCUCGAUGAGGCCCAAAAUCUUGGGAAGCUCCUUAUCCAUUCCACUGGCAUCAGACAAUGGACAUGCCACUGUCUUCACAGCUAAUUACACAGAGGACAUGCCUGUGCCUAGGAAUUGGGAUGACUCAUCUUCUUCCGUUAUUGCACUGAUGGUUGUGCUGACUCUUGCUUGUACUGUGAUAAUGACAUCUCUGGUGACUUUCUAUUGUCACAAGUUACAGCUGAAAGGCAGGAAGCUAAAGAAGGCUCAGGAAGAAUAUGAAAAGGAUCAUGGGAAAAACAACAAACAGCAAAGCACUGGAACAACAACAGUGCUUCAGAACCCUUAGGAAAUCCAGUGGGCUUUAAAAAAAGCAAUAUAUUUUCAACUGCUUUAUUUAAACACUGAUACAAGGGAUUCCAGUUCAGCUAAAGUGUUUGGCAUCAUUUUCAAGAGCAGGAACAUUUCUUCAGAAGAAAUUCUAUUUUCCAGGAUCUUAUGAGUAAUAUAUUUUUAAAUGUUUUAAGCACUGGUGAGACAGGUUUUUUUGGGGUGGGUUGCUUUGUUAUUAGGUCUUUUUGUUUGAGUUUUGAAUGCUGGCUGUUGCUCUGCCUAACAUAAGACUUCAAUGACGUACACAUUAAGAAAGAAAACAAAUGAUAACCCUUUUUGAUGGUAGCUUUUGUCUUAAAUGUCUGCAAUUUGUAGAAGAAAAACCUGCAAAUAAAGGUUUAGCAUCAUUAUGCUUGAUUAUAAAAUGGCAGUAUAUAGUUUUUAGGAAGGUAUUGUGAAAAAUGCAUACAGUACUUAUAUUUACCCUUCAGUUAUAACAAUAUUAUUAUUAAACUUGAUUAUAUGAAUUUAUAUGUAAAAUAUGUAUGUUAAGUACUAUUAGAAUUUUCAAACCAUGUAUCAAUACAAUAAAGGUAUAAUCUCUUUA
Long non-coding RNA from Lepisosteus oculatus (spotted gar), 2026 nucleotides. RefSeq lists it as uncharacterized. NCBI's taxonomy places the organism in Eukaryota, Metazoa, Chordata, Actinopteri, Semionotiformes, Lepisosteidae. The record is from RefSeq and is a predicted model, not a curated record.